RNAcentral lists this ribosomal RNA (253 nucleotides) under uncultured bacterium. RNAcentral's name for it is "partial 16S ribosomal RNA". It matches the Rfam family "Bacterial small subunit ribosomal RNA", at positions 524 to 776 of the family's 1533-position model. The record is from RNAcentral.
UACGUAGGUGGCUAGCGUUGUCCGGAUUUACUGGGCGUAAAGAGCGCGCAGGCGGUCGUUCAAGUCGAGUGUGAAAGCCCCCGGCUCAACUGGGGAGGGUCACUCGAUACUGAUCGACUCGAAGGCAGGAGAGGGAAGCGGAAUUCCCGGUGUAGUGGUGAAAUGCGUAGAUAUCGGGAGGAACACCAGUGGCGAAGGCGGCUUUCUGGCCUGCUCUUGACGCUGAGGCGCGAAAGCUAGGGGAGCAAACAGG